Long non-coding RNA from Wyeomyia smithii (pitcher-plant mosquito), 541 nucleotides. RefSeq lists it as uncharacterized. The transcript has 3 exons. NCBI's taxonomy places the organism in Eukaryota, Metazoa, Arthropoda, Insecta, Diptera, Culicidae. The record is from RefSeq and is a predicted model, not a curated record.
UUAACGAAUCGCACAAUGGAAUAAUAAUUAUCGGAUUUUCACAUCCAUUUUAUUUGAAAUUCAUUUACGUCUAACAUGUGCCGUAAAAAUUUAAAUUUACAGGCAACAUUGCGGAAUACAUUUCAUAAAGUAGGUAUAUAAAACCGUCAUGUAUCGAAACCAACAUAUAAAUCUUAUUGAUAAAUCCAUUAAAAACACAUGUCGCUGUGACUUUUUGUCAGUUUAACUUGUGAAGUUUUGUUUUGACGUUUGGAUUUGGUAUCGAAUAAUCCAGAUAGUUAUUCAAAAUGGCUACACCACGAGAAGACGGCGUCUUAUUGAGCGAUUGGAAAAAUAUUUUCUUAUCUCCAAUGGAUCACACCGAAGAAAUUGGCACUUAUAUAAUCGUAGGGCAAACAACGUACAGACCAUUGGAACUCGGAUCAAGUGGCCGACGUUGAACCGGUUUAUAGGAUUUAUAGGACAGUCAACAAUCAAGUACAAAUUUCUUAAAAUAAAUAUUAUUUUUAUAAUAAAUUCUUGUAUCCUUUAUAAAAAAAAG